Small nucleolar RNA from Megalops cyprinoides (Indo-Pacific tarpon), 183 nucleotides. RefSeq annotates it as small nucleolar RNA SNORA81. The record is from RefSeq and is a predicted model, not a curated record. Lineage: Eukaryota; Metazoa; Chordata; Actinopteri; Elopiformes; Megalopidae. The transcript has a single exon.
UCCUUCUUGCUAAAGCACUCUGCUAAAAUUGUGAGAUCCAAGCCUUUUGGCUUGGUUCCUGCGAUAAUGAAAGUCAGAGUACACCCAGGAAGGAGAACAACUGCACAGUAUCGGGAAUGAGACCAGGGUGGACCUCUUUCUUAAUGUCCAGUGUCCUUCGUCUCAAGAUUCUGUGCAACAUUC